UACAGAGGGUGCAAGCGUUAAUCGGAGUUACUGGGCGUAAAGGGCGCGUAGGCGGAUAUUUAAGUCGGAUGUGAAAUCCCUGGGCUUAACCUAGGAAUUGCAUUCGAUACUGAGUACUCUUGAGUAUGGUAGAGGAAAGUGGAAUUCUCGGUGUAGUGGUAAAAUACGUAGAUAUCGAGAAGAACACCGGUGGCGAAGGCGGCUUUCUGGACCAAUACUGACGCUGAGGCGCGAAAGCGUGGGGA
Molecule: ribosomal RNA, 245 nt
Filed under: uncultured Gammaproteobacteria bacterium
Lineage: Bacteria; Pseudomonadati; Pseudomonadota; Gammaproteobacteria
Description: partial 16S ribosomal RNA
Rfam family: Bacterial small subunit ribosomal RNA
Source: RNAcentral